UGCUUAUUUAUUCGCAUACUCAUUUCUAUAGGUGCUAAACCAUAGAUUAAAAAGUAAAUACUGAUAUAAGUAACAGAUAAUAACGUAAUAAGUACCAUUGCCAUAAGUAAUGCCAUACUCGUUUCCUUUAUCCUGUGGGGUUGCAGUAAAACUAGCAAUAAAGUGAGUUUAGGCUUGCCCUUCGAUAUUUUGAAACCAGAAUUGUGAGAUAGCUUGCCAUUAUAAAAAUUGAAAUGUGACGUGACCACAUUUAAUACAAAAUAUCUGACUCUCUUCUCCAAACGAUUAUGAUGUUGCCCCCAAAAGAGGUGACGUCGAAAUCGUUAACUAUGCAUUAAUGAAUAAUAACGCUGGUGAACGCUGGGCUAGAAUUACACUCACUAAUUUAUAAUCCGGUAAUUACAAUCCACACUUUAGCUUACCAAUAGACACUUCAACCCACCUGUUACGUUCUAAACAACAUCUAAGAUUUAUACAAUUAACCAGUGCAGUUUAGCUGAUCUUCACUCGCUCGAAUCAUCUAUCCACCUUUAAAAAUAUCGCCACAAAUAUCAUAUCCGAAUGAAUUUCAUACAACCG
Molecule: unclassified non-coding RNA, 579 nt
Filed under: Moritella viscosa
Lineage: Bacteria; Pseudomonadati; Pseudomonadota; Gammaproteobacteria; Alteromonadales; Moritellaceae
Description: putative sRNA
Source: RNAcentral